CCUGUGGCGUACAAAUGGAGAACAAAGAUGGUUACGUGGAGUUAAUGUUUAAGUUUAACCAUGACUUGCUAACUAGCAUGUGCGGAACCCUACUCACCCUUCUCGUUUCCUCAGCUACGCAUCAAGCUCUUCUUUCUUCGCCUCAAUUUCAAAAUCUGGUUCAGCUGCUGAUAGUAACUCAACAAGGUGAAAACCAAGAAAGUCAUCUGGGUGGACACAAUCUGAAGUAGUCGAUGCUGAGGAUGGAGAUGAUGUUCAUGGUGGAUAUGGAGAAGGGGAUGCUGAUGAUGAAGAAAAAGACCCUUCUGAUGGUGAUGAUCAUGGGAACAUUUCUAAUGACCCAAAUGGCAACUCCAACGAGGGAGCUGAAGUGGGAGAGGCUAAUGGGGAUGGAGAUGAUGAAGGCGGCGAAAAUGG
This is a long non-coding RNA of Hibiscus syriacus, 417 nucleotides long. RefSeq lists it as uncharacterized. The transcript has 2 exons. Lineage: Eukaryota; Viridiplantae; Streptophyta; Magnoliopsida; Malvales; Malvaceae. The record is from RefSeq and is a predicted model, not a curated record.